AAGUCGUAACAAGGUUUCCGUAGGUGAACCUGCGGAAGGAUCAUUUCCAAAAAAAAAAGAAUUUUGAAAUACACCGUAUUUGGUGUGUGAAGUGUGUGGUGGUAUCCAAAACAUUUUAAUUUACUCUCUCUGACAACAUGGUCAUCGCGUAUGCCAAGUUUGGAAGAGAGAGGCCUUGAUGAACCACAUCCGCAAAUGUAUUGGCGUUUGUUUGUCUAAACAAACAACACUAUACAUCAUCGGACGUUAACAUUAUACUGUCUCGAUAUAUUUCUACUCGGAUUUGCACUUGGUGCCCUAAGGCACCAGGUCAAAACCAACAACACAAAAGUACCAAUAUACAGACAACUUUUAACGGUGGAUCUCUUGGCUCGU
RNAcentral lists this unclassified non-coding RNA (375 nucleotides) under fungal sp. RNAcentral's name for it is "partial internal transcribed spacer region". The stretch from base 1 to 46 matches the Rfam family "Eukaryotic small subunit ribosomal RNA", at positions 1786 to 1831 of the family's 1831-position model. Lineage: Eukaryota; Fungi. The record is from RNAcentral.